RNAcentral lists this ribosomal RNA (520 nucleotides) under uncultured Glomeromycotina. RNAcentral's name for it is "SSU rRNA". It matches the Rfam family "Eukaryotic small subunit ribosomal RNA", at positions 569 to 1091 of the family's 1831-position model. Lineage: Eukaryota; Fungi; Glomeromycota. The record is from RNAcentral.
AGCAGCCGCGGUAAUUCCAGCUCCAAUAGCGUAUAUUAAAGUUGUUGCAGUUAAAAAGCUCGUAGUUGAAUUUCGGGGUUAGUAGGUUGGUCGUGCCACUGGUAUGUACUGGUUCUACUGAUCCCUCCUUCUUGUAGAACCGUAAUGCCAUUCACUUGGUGUUGCGGGGAAACAGGACUGUUACUUUGAAAAAAUUGAGUGUUUAAAGCAGGUUAACGCUUGAAUACAUUAGCAUGGAAUAAUGAAAUAGGACGUUCGAUCCUAUUUUGUUGGUUUCUAGGAUUGACGUAAUGAUUAAUAGAGAUAGUUGGGGGCAUUAGUAUUCAAUUGUCAGAGGUGAAAUUCUUGGAUUUAUUGAAGACUGACUACUGCGAAAGCAUUUGCCAAGGAUGUUUUCAUUAAUCAAGAACGAAAGUUAGGGGAUCGAAGACGAUCAGAUACCGUCGUAGUCUUAACCAUAAACUAUGCCGACUAGAGAUCGGAUGAUGUUAAUUUUUUAAUGACUCAUUCGGCGCCUUAC